GUCCACAGCCAUGCCACCCUGAACAAGCUCCAUGUCUGAUCUCGGAAGCUAAGCAGGGUCGGGCCUGGUUAGUACUUGAAUGGGAGAUCACCUAGGAAGACCAGGUGCUGUAGGCA
Pteropus alecto (black flying fox) is the source of this 116-nucleotide non-coding RNA. Lineage: Eukaryota; Metazoa; Chordata; Mammalia; Chiroptera; Pteropodidae. The record is from Rfam.